AAGGAUCUUUAUUGAGAGAGUGUUUACAAAUAUUCCCGACAAUGGAGGAUAAAUGCAUGGAGUUUUUAUAUAAUCUUGAGUCCGCAGCUUUCUUCGAAGUUAUUUUUGGUGUGGAUCCAAUGGCACAAAUCACAGUCUUUAGUCCGUUUCUGAUGGCAGUACAGUCUUUAGUUCGAUACACCACACAGUUGAAGUUGUUUGAAGCGAAGGGUCUUUCCUUCCUUGCGAAUUUUCUCCUUUCUGGGUUCUUGAUUCUGAAGACGGCACUCGAGUAAUGUUCGGCGCUCGGCUUCGUUGGAGACGGGUGUUUGGAGAAGUACACGGGCAACCUACAGUCUCUUUUCUCCCUCUAUGUCUUGGGUGGCCACUGUCUAGAAGGGUUUCUCAGACAAGAGAUAUAGUAGUUCACUUCGUCGACUCCAGGCGUACCAAACCUGAGGUGUGGUGAUCGCCCAUUAUAUUGCUUGCUCUUCCCCCCUCUUUUUUUCUUUGUUAGAGUCAAGAAUC
RNAcentral lists this long non-coding RNA (507 nucleotides) under Androctonus crassicauda. Lineage: Eukaryota; Metazoa; Arthropoda; Arachnida; Scorpiones; Buthidae. The record is from RNAcentral.